Non-coding RNA from Methylobacterium radiotolerans JCM 2831, 103 nucleotides. The record is from Rfam. Lineage: Bacteria; Pseudomonadati; Pseudomonadota; Alphaproteobacteria; Hyphomicrobiales; Methylobacteriaceae.
CGUGACGAUGCGGGAGAGACCGGGAUCUUCCCAGCAGAGGGGACCCGGCGCCGACGGAGCAACCGCCCCGGAAACUCUCAGGCACCGGAACCGUGUCGUCAGG